Molecule: ribosomal RNA, 373 nt
Filed under: uncultured organism
Description: partial 16S ribosomal RNA
Rfam family: Bacterial small subunit ribosomal RNA
Source: RNAcentral
GUAGGUGGCAAGCGUUGUCCGGAAUUAUUGGGCGUAAAGCGCGCGCAGGCGGUUCUUUAAGUCUGAUGUGAAAGCCCACGGCUCAACCGUGGAGGGUCAUUGGAAACUGGAGAACUUGAGUACAGAAGAGGAAAGCGGAAUUCCACGUGUAGCGGUGAAAUGCGUAGAGAUGUGGAGGAACACCAGUGGCGAAGGCGGCUUUCUGGUCUGUAACUGACGCUGAGGCGCGAAAGCGUGGGGAGCAAACAGGGAUUAGAUACCCUGGUAGUCCACGCCGUAAACGAUGAGUGCUAAGUGUUAGGGGGGUUUCCGCCCCCUUAGUGCUGCAGCUAACGCAUUAAGCACUCCGCCUGGGGAGUACGCCGCAAGGCUG